CCUACGGGUGGCAGCAGUGAGGAAUAUUGGUCAAUGGGCGCGAGCCUGAACCAGCCAAGUCGCGUGAGGGAAGACGGUCCUAUGGAUUGUAAACCUCUUUUGUCGGGGAGCAAAAGACGCCACGCGUGGCGUUCCGCGAGUACCCGAAGACAAAGCAUCGGCUAACUCGGUGCCAGCAGCCGCGGUAAUACGGAGGAUGCGAGCGUGAGCCGGAUUUAUUGGGUUUAAAGGGUGCGCAGGCGGAAGAUCAAGUCAGCGGUAAAAUUGAGAGGCUCAACCUCUUCGAGCCGUUGAAACUGGUUUUCUUGAGUGAGUGAGAAGUAUGCGGAAUGCGUGGUGUAGCGGUGAAAUGCAUAGAUAUCACGCAGAACUCCGAUUGCGAAGGCAGCAUACCGGCGCUCAACUGACGCUCAUGCACGAAAGUGUGGGUAUCGAACAGGAUUAGAUACCCUUGUAGUC
This 459-nucleotide ribosomal RNA is filed under the name uncultured bacterium. RNAcentral describes it as "partial 16S ribosomal RNA". It matches the Rfam family "Bacterial small subunit ribosomal RNA", at positions 338 to 795 of the family's 1533-position model. The record is from RNAcentral.